CCCUUAGAUGUUCUGGGCCGCACGCGCGCUACACUGAUGAAUUCAACGAGCACUAACCUGUGCAGAAAUGUUCGGGUAAUCUUGUGAAAUUUCAUCGUGAUGGGGAUUGAUUAUUGCAAUUAUUAAUCAUAAACGAGGAAUGCCUAGUAAGCGUGAGUCAUCAGCUCACGUUGAUUACGUCCCUGCCCUUUGUACACACCGCCCGUCGCUCCUACCGAUUGGGUGUGCUGGUGAAAUGUUCGGAUCGGCCGUUUGUCGCGGUUUCCGCGUCAUGUGGCUGAGAAGUUCAUUAAACCCUCCCACCUAGAGGAAGGAGAAGUCGUAACA
RNAcentral lists this ribosomal RNA (327 nucleotides) under uncultured eukaryote. RNAcentral describes it as "partial 18S ribosomal RNA". It matches the Rfam family "Eukaryotic small subunit ribosomal RNA", at positions 1470 to 1796 of the family's 1831-position model. The record is from RNAcentral.